AUAAGGGCAUUUGGUGGAUGCCUUGGCGCUGAGAGGCGAUGAAGGACGUACUACGCUGCGAUAAGCCGCGAGGAGCUGCGAAGAAGCUUUGAUCCGCGGAUUUCCGAAUGGGGAAACCCACCUUCGAUAACGGAAUUCUGAGUCUCUUACUCGCGAGAGUGGGGGAUUUGGAUUUCCGUUAUCACAUGAAGGAAUAAGACCUCCGAAUAAAAUAGGAGGUUUUAAGCUAACCCGGAGAACUGAAACAUCUCAGUACCCGGAGGAAAGGACAUCAACCGAGACUCCGCUAGUAGUGGCGAGCGAAAGCGGACCAGGCCAGUGAUAAUCCCAAGACAACCGGAAGCGUCUGGAACGACGCGCCUUAGCGGGUGACAGCCCCGUACGGGUAACGCGAAGGAUUAUCCUCGAGUAAGGCGGGACACGUGAAAUCCUGUCUGAACAUGGGGGGACCACCCUCCAAGCCUAAGUACUCCUCAGCGACCGAUAGUGAACCAGUACCGUGAGGGAAAGGUGAAAAGCACCCCGACGAGGGGAGUGAAAGAGACCUGAAACCGAAUGCCUACAAACAGAUGGAGCUCAAGGUUCGUCCUGAGUGACAUCGUACCUUUUGUAUAAUGGGCCAGCGACUUAAUUUGACGAGCAAGCUUAAGCCGAUAGGCGUAGGCGCAGCGAAAGCGAGUCUGAAUAGGGCGUCCAAGUUCGUCGGAUUAGACCCGAAACCUAGUGAUCUAGCCAUGGUCAGGUUGAAGGUGGGGUAACACCUACUGGAGGACCGAACCGGUGUCUGUUGAAAAAGCCUCGGAUGAACUGUGGCUAGGGGUGAAAGGCCAACCAAACUGGGAAAUAGCUGGUUUUCCGCGAAAGAUAUUUAGGUAUCGCCUCGCGUGAAUGCUUUGGGGGGUAGAGCACUGGAUGGGCUAGGGGGACUUACCGUCUUACCAAACCUAACCAAACUCCGAAUACCCAUGAGUACUAUCCGGGAGACACACGGUGGGUGCUAACGUCCAUCGUGGAGAGGGAAAAAACCCUGACCAACAGCUAAGGCCCCUAAUUCGUGGCUAAGUGUGAAAGGAUGUGGGAAUCCCAUAACAACCAGGAGGUUGGCUUAGAAGCAGCCAUCCUUUAAAGAAAGCGUAACAGCUCACUGGUCUAAUUAAGGGUUCCUGCGCCGAAAAUGUAACGGGGCUCAAGCCACGAGCCGAAGCUUUGGGUGUGCACGCAAGUGUACGCGGUAGCGGAACGUUCUGUAAGCCCGUGAAGGGAGACCCGUGAGGGCUCCUGGAGGUAUCAGAAGUGCGAAUGCUGGCACGAGUAACGAAAAACAGUGUGAAAGACACUGUCGCCGAAAGUCCAAGGGUUCCUGCGUAAAGCUAAUCUGCGCAGGGUUAGCCGGUCCCUAAG
RNAcentral lists this ribosomal RNA (1401 nucleotides) under Bacteroidota bacterium. RNAcentral describes it as "partial 23S ribosomal RNA". It matches the Rfam family "Bacterial large subunit ribosomal RNA", at positions 11 to 1395 of the family's 2925-position model. Lineage: Bacteria; Pseudomonadati; Bacteroidota. The record is from RNAcentral.